UAAGUCUAAAAAUCUCGUAAGGGUCAC
RNAcentral lists this small RNA (27 nucleotides) under Bombyx mori (domestic silkworm). RNAcentral's name for it is "ovarian small RNA-5789". Lineage: Eukaryota; Metazoa; Arthropoda; Insecta; Lepidoptera; Bombycidae. The record is from RNAcentral.